GACAGAGGGGGCAAGCGUUGCUCGGAAUCACUGGGCGUAAAGGGCGCGUAGGCGGGAUGGCAAGUCAGUCGUGAAAUCUCUCGGCUCAACCGAGAAACGUCGGCUGAUACUGCCGUUCUUGAGGGAUGCAGAGGAGACUGGAAUUCCCGGUGUAGCGGUGAAAUGUGUAGAGAUCGGGAGGAACACCGGUGGCGAAGGCGGGUCUCUGGGCAUUUCCUGACGCUGAGGCGCGAAAGCGUGGGGAGUGAACAGG
This 253-nucleotide ribosomal RNA is filed under the name uncultured bacterium. Its description in RNAcentral is "partial 16S ribosomal RNA". It matches the Rfam family "Bacterial small subunit ribosomal RNA", at positions 524 to 776 of the family's 1533-position model. The record is from RNAcentral.